Molecule: ribosomal RNA, 492 nt
Filed under: uncultured bacterium
Lineage: Bacteria
Description: partial 16S ribosomal RNA
Rfam family: Bacterial small subunit ribosomal RNA
Source: RNAcentral
GAUGAACGCUAGCUACAGGCUUAACACAUACAAGUCGAGGGGAAACGACAUCGAAAGCUUGCUUUUGAUGGGCGUCGACCGGCGCACGGGUGAGUAACGCGUAUCCAACCUGCCCACCACUUGGGGAUAACCUUGCGAAAGUAAGACUAAUACCCAAUGAUAUCCCACGAAGACAUCUGAAUGGGAUUAAAGAUUUAUCGGUGAUGGAUGGGGAUGCGUCUGAUUAGCUUGUUGGCGGGGUAACGGCCCACCAAGGCAACGAUCAGUAGGGGUUCUGAGAGGAAGGUCCCCCACAGUGGAACUGAGACACGGUCCAAACUCCUACGGGAGGCAGCAGUGAGGAAUAUUGGUCAAUGGGCGAGAGCCUGAACCAGCCAAGUAGCGUGCAGGAAGACGGCCCUAUGGGUUGUAAACUGCUUUUAUAAGGGAAUAAAGUGGGUCACGUGUGACUUUUUGCAUGUACCUUAUGAAUAAGGACCGGCUAAUUCCGUG